RNAcentral lists this ribosomal RNA (253 nucleotides) under uncultured bacterium. RNAcentral describes it as "partial 16S ribosomal RNA". It matches the Rfam family "Bacterial small subunit ribosomal RNA", at positions 524 to 776 of the family's 1533-position model. The record is from RNAcentral.
UACAGAGGUCCCAAGCGUUGUUCGGAUUCACUGGGCGUAAAGGGUGCGUAGGUGACCAGGUAAGUUCGGUGUGAAAGCUCGGAGCUUAACUCCGAAAUGGCAUUGAAUACUAUCUGGCUGGAGGGUCGGAGGGGAGACUGGAAUUCUCGGUGUAGCAGUGAAAUGCGUAGAUAUCGAGAGGAACACCAGUGGCGAAGGCGAGUCUCUGGACGACUCCUGACACUGAGGCACGAAAGCCAGGGGAGCAAACAGG